UCAUUCCUAAUUUCAUUCAAAAAAUAAAAUAAAGAACAUAUA
Molecule: transfer RNA, 42 nt
Filed under: Mesosetum loliiforme
Lineage: Eukaryota; Viridiplantae; Streptophyta; Magnoliopsida; Poales; Poaceae
Description: partial tRNA-Leu
Source: RNAcentral